CACGGACCGCACGAGCGUUAUUCGGAAUCACUGGGCUUAAAGGGUGCGUAGGCGGCUUUGCAAGUUGGGUGUGAAAGCCCUCGGCUCAACCGAGGAAUUGCGCUCAAUACUGCCGAGCUCGAGAGAGACAGAGGUAAGCGGAACUGAUGGUGGAGCGGUGAAAUGCGUUGAUAUCAUCAGGAACACCGGUGGCGAAGGCGGCUUACUGGGUCUUUUCUGACGCUGAGGCACGAAAGCCAGGGGAGCGAACGGG
This 253-nucleotide ribosomal RNA is filed under the name uncultured bacterium. Its description in RNAcentral is "partial 16S ribosomal RNA". It matches the Rfam family "Bacterial small subunit ribosomal RNA", at positions 524 to 776 of the family's 1533-position model. The record is from RNAcentral.